UCCCUGGUGGUCUAGUGGUUAGGAUUCGGUACUUUCACUGCCACAACCCAGGUUUGAUUCCUGGUCAGGGAA
Protopterus annectens (West African lungfish) is the source of this 72-nucleotide non-coding RNA. Lineage: Eukaryota; Metazoa; Chordata; Ceratodontiformes; Protopteridae. The record is from the annotation of a RefSeq genome assembly.